This 584-nucleotide ribosomal RNA is filed under the name Acesta bullisi. RNAcentral's name for it is "partial 12S ribosomal RNA gene". The stretch from base 63 to 584 matches the Rfam family "Bacterial small subunit ribosomal RNA", at positions 875 to 1418 of the family's 1533-position model. The record is from RNAcentral. Lineage: Eukaryota; Metazoa; Mollusca; Bivalvia; Limoida; Limidae.
AGUUAUUCUUCGGCACUAAUAAGCGGAGUAAUUUUUUUUACAUCUCAUAAUAUAAGCCGUCGCAGUACUACGAACGCAUGUUUAAAAUUGAAAGAACUUGGCGGCCGUUCAACCUACCAGGGGAACAUGUGCCUUAAAACGAUGGUCCACGCUUUAUCUUACCCUGUCUUGUAAACAAAGAGGCAAGGAAUAAAGCUUGCUUCUAUUUCUCACCUAUAAGUGAGAGGGGUCAGCCGCUAUACCGCCGUUGUCACUUCCCAGUCUGAGCGGUAUUCAAAGGGGGGGAUUUUUGGUACUGUUUUAGGCUGUGUUGGGGUGGGGGCAGGAAAAUCUUUUUUGUUUUACAUUUCCCAAAGUAUAAAGUUUGUACCAUGAAGACAGGUUAAGGUAGCGCCUAUGGCAGGGGGAGUAUGUGUUACAAGCUUUAUUUUAGAGAGAGUAAAAAACUUUCAAACGGAUUCUUUGAGGAAGAUUAAUCUUAGAUGAAGGUGAACUUGGCAGUAAGGAGGGAGUAAGGAGUCCACCUGAAGAGUGCUCUGAUCGUGUGUUCAAAUCGCCCGUCGCUCCCUUCCGAAAGCGGGGAU